GCCUCCCAAAGUGCUGAGAUUACAGGCGUGAGCCACCGCGCCCGGCCCAGGACAGCUUCUGAAAACGAUUGUUUUACCUUACUACUGCCUUACCUCUUCCACCCUGACCUCCCACCUUAUCCUAAACUGGAGGUUGCUGUUGAUGUUGUCUUGUUUCUGAUCAAAUUUCCUAAAUAAUUUUGGAUGCUCUAUUUGCUCCAAAUUCAACAAAAUAUUAAUAUGAUAACUUCCUACUCCAGGCCACAGGACAAAGUUCCCCCAAGCAAGCUUCCACACACAUACCCAGAUAUGCACCAGAUCCAAGGCCUUCUUGUAACACUAGUGAAAUUCUUGAUUUCUUUUUUGGAUGUAUGCAUAAUUAAUGUUGGUUCCCUGGCAAUCCCAUCUUUCUAGUUGGUUCUUCCAUUAUUCCUGGCACACUUAUAGUAAUAUUUGCUGAUCAGAGAUGCAUAUUGACUCCUAGGUGGGGAUGAUCUUUUUACCUGUCAUUGGGUACACCUUUUAUUUUGGAGGCACCCUCAGUUUUUUCUUCCCCUUUCUUAUUUGAGAGUUUCAGUCUUCUCUUUGGGAAUCAGGCCCUAAUUCUCUUUCAUUAUUUACAGGAAGAGAUUAAAAGGCUUCAUUCAAAAAGAACCUAGGAAACUUGCCUUAGUGUCUCAAUGACAGGUGGAAUUGAUCGGCAAGCUGUAUCUGGUUGCUCAAAACAGUGCAGCAUCCACAGUGUGACAGAUCAUGGAUGAGAUGUUAGUGUUGUAGAAACAAAAAACACUUUAGUGAAUUCACUUAUUAACAUGUCAUUCAAUUUUAUGUCUGAGUCAACAGCAUGGUAUUAAGGUUUUGACACAGUGGUGUCUCAACUGUAUUGUUUAUUCCUUGUAAUAAAAUUAUUAUUUUGUUUUUAUGCAUGGUGCCACUACAGCAUUUUCCACCCAGUGGGUGCUCUAUAAAUAUUGACUGAUUGGAAUUUGGAACUGUAAGUGUUAUAAUUUAGAGGUUAUUGGCUCCUUAUAAUUGCGUUUGGGAACUACAAAUUCAGCUAAAAUUGGAGCUCUACUCUGAAACACUUCCAUUGAGCUUCUGGUCUAAGUUACCCAGAAAACCCUUAAGGUAAAAAUUCUCCUCUUUUUACAGCCUCAAAUCUAUUAUUUAAAGCCAAUAAACAGUGGUUUAUAAUGGAGAAGUUUUAAAUUUCAGGCAUGUUUUUAGAGACUAAACCUAAUAAAAUUAUUAAGUGGAAGCAAAGCAAUAUUAUUUGUUUUGGUCGUAGACUUUGAAUAUCCAAGAGAAUCAUGGAUAUCAUGUCUCAGUAAUGGUUUUGAGGUUUGACUCCUGCUUCCUUAAAUGUAGGAAAUGGCACUGAGAGUGGUACAUGGCUUUAUUUUUAGGUUAAGAGCCUACCUUUUAAAGGAAGCAGUUACCUGUAUAUGUAACAUCCUAAAGCAGAUUUCAGAUACUUGAGGAGAGUCUGUUUUUAAGAAUCAUGAUGAAUUAUUGCUUGCCUUAAUGAAAUGGCUGUUAUUGUAAAACACUGAUAAUAUCUGUAAACAGUGUCAUUAAAAGGUGAAAUAAACCUUAGAUAAUAAGUACAAUAAACCCGACAAAAUAUCUAUCUCUGACAGAAUAAGAAUAUAUAUAAGAAAAUAUAUAACUUCAUUGAGAUCUAAUCUUUCAGUUCUUUUUUAGCUCCGUUAACAAUUAUUUAGCAUAUGCCAAGCCUUGAGCUUUCACACAGGUUUACAAAUAUGAAUAAAACCUCAUCCCUACAUAGAAGAAUCUUAGGAGAGACAUGGUUUCAAAAUGGGGUUCCUACACCAUGGAUUUACAAGAAAAGCCUCUGAUUACAGGAUGAAAAUACCAAAAUGCUUAUUUCUGUUUAUUUUUAUAAAAUAAAGAAAUAGGUGAAAUGUAAAAUGCAAAGAUGUCCAAUGCAAAGAAAUUAAGACAAACUAAUCACCCAUAGGGAUCGUGGCAUCUUGACUCUCUCACAUUUACUAUGAUGAGUUUGGAGUGGUGGAAAACAUAAAACCAAAUACCUAUACCUCUGCGUAAUGUUUAAAAUCAUAAGAAAUACAAUUAAAUUCUUACAAAAUUUUAUUAAACAUAAUAAUCAAUGUUUAAAAGGUUUAUUUGAGGUGUGUUACUUAAUGAUGAAAAAAAUACUUUUAGAAACAUGCUUAUUCUUCCUACCACAAUAACAAUGGCCAAAGUAAUACAUAGAAAAUGAUAUAACAUACAAUUAUAUACUUAAAUGCAUUCCUUUGUCAUAAAAUCAUUGGAAGAUGCACAAUAUUGAUACAGUUGUAAAUAUUAGACAGAAGCUACAACUUGGGAAUUUUGCAAUACCUUGGAAGAAGGAAGAAAUGUUUCUAACAUGUCCCAGCUGCUGGUAUUUUCUCUAUUCUGUUUCAACAAUAACAUACACAAAGAACUACUUGUUUUUUCUAACCACCAAAGGAGAUAAUAUAUUCGCAGCAGAACAUUUUUUUAAUAAAAAUAAUGUUUGUGGAAAUAACUGUGAAGUGUAGUUACUGAUGAAGCGGUUGCUCUUUACUGGAAUUUUUCAGAUGGAUUUCAGGGAAAUGUUGAGGAGAGAAUAUAAUUUCCUGAAUCCUUCAUAGGCAAGCAAUUUAGGC
This is a long non-coding RNA of Cercocebus atys (sooty mangabey), 2633 nucleotides long. RefSeq lists it as uncharacterized. NCBI's taxonomy places the organism in Eukaryota, Metazoa, Chordata, Mammalia, Primates, Cercopithecidae. The transcript is spliced from 3 exons. The record is from RefSeq and is a predicted model, not a curated record.